AUACGGAGGGUGCGAGCGUUAAUCGGAAUUACUGGGCGUAAAGCGCGCGUAGGCGGCUUGAUCAGUCGGAUGUGAAAUCCCCGGGCUCAACCUGGGAAUUGCAUCCGAUACUGUCGGGCUAGAGUACGAUAGAGGGGGGUAGAAUUCCUAGUGUAGCGGUGAAAUGCGUAGAUAUUAGGAGGAAUACCAGUGGCGAAGGCGGCCCCCUGGAUUGAUACUGACGCUGAGGUGCGAAAGCGUGGGGAGCAAACAGGAUUAGAUACCCGGGUAGUCC
This 274-nucleotide ribosomal RNA is filed under the name uncultured bacterium. RNAcentral's name for it is "partial 16S ribosomal RNA". It matches the Rfam family "Bacterial small subunit ribosomal RNA", at positions 523 to 796 of the family's 1533-position model. The record is from RNAcentral.